This 392-nucleotide ribosomal RNA is filed under the name uncultured bacterium. Its description in RNAcentral is "partial 16S ribosomal RNA". It matches the Rfam family "Bacterial small subunit ribosomal RNA", at positions 523 to 918 of the family's 1533-position model. The record is from RNAcentral.
AUACGUAGGGGGAGAGCGUUGUCCGGAUUUAUUGGGCGUAAAGGGUGCGUAGGCGGCCUUGUAAGUCAGAUGUGAAAGAUCAUGGCUUAACUGUGGUAAGCAUUUGAAACUGCAGGGCUUGAGUACAGAAGAGGAGAGUGGAAUUCCUAGUGUAGCGGUGAAAUGCGUAGAUAUUAGGACGAAUACCAGUGGGGAAGGUGACUUUUUGGACUGUUACUGGCGCGCUGGCACGAAAGCGUGGGGAGUAAACUGGAUUAGAUGCCUUGUUAUUCCACGCUAAAAACGAUGAUUGCUAGGUUUCGUGGGUCAAACCUCAGUGCCGCAUUGAACACAUUAAGGACUCAGCCUGGGGACUACUGCCGCAAUGCUGAAACUCAAGUGAAUUGACGGGG